GAUGAACGCUGGCGGCGUGCUUAACACAUGCAAGUCGAGCGAAGCAUAGAUGUGGAAGUUUUCGGAUGGAAGCAGAUAUGACUGAGCGGCGGACGGGUGAGUAACGCGUGGGUAACCUGCCUCAUACAGGGGGAUAACAGUUAGAAAUGACUGCUAAUACCGCAUAAGCGCACAGGACCGCAUGGUCCGGUGUGAAAAACUCCGGUGGUAUGAGAUGGACCCGCGUCUGAUUAGCUGGUUGGUGAGGUAACGGCCCACCAAGGCGACGAUCAGUAGCCGACCUGAGAGGGUGGCCGGCCACAUUGGGACUGAGACACGGCCCAA
RNAcentral lists this ribosomal RNA (324 nucleotides) under uncultured bacterium. RNAcentral describes it as "bacterial SSU rRNA". It matches the Rfam family "Bacterial small subunit ribosomal RNA", at positions 28 to 334 of the family's 1533-position model. The record is from RNAcentral.